CUUUUUGGAAAUGCACAAGGAGAGGCAGCAGCUGGAGCUGAGCAGGGGAAGGGCAGAGCUGUAAUCAAGAUGCUCAUUUUUCGGCAAGCCCCAGAUGCAGAUCAAGAAAUGCAAAGUUUGUGCUGACGAGGAGACAAGGGCCUCAGUUCUCAUCCAGCAAAGGGAGUUUUCCAGCAGAUUCAAAGCCAUCUGAUAAGAGAAAAUCUGGACAAAAGCUUGAGUUUUACUUUUAAUCCUCCAAGAAAAGAACCAACAAAGACUUGAAAGACCAACAAAGAGUUGAAAGACCAGAAAAAGGACCAACUCAAUCCCCAGACCCCACCAUGAGAUCUUUGUGGAACAUUCUGACCCUCAGAUUUGGCUCUUGUUUUCCUGGACAUCAAUGGAGACAUACUCCACCAGAUUGAGCAGAUGAGGCCAGGGAGGCACACGAGGAUGGAUUUGGCAGCCCCUUUCCAUGCCAGACCGGAUGUUUUAGUCUUUUUCAAGUCUAUAAACAAUGGAAGCUGCUCAGAGUCAUAUUCCUGGCACCAGCAGCAGCUUGGAUGCAUUUCAAUUCAUGUCUUUUGUGCUCUGGAGUGAAUUCAUACCUUCGUGAAUUGUUUAACAAAAACAGGAGAGAACCUCACCUUGGCAGGCAGCUCCUGGGGCUUGACUGAGCUUGUGGUGACACACUGGUGACAGCUGAUGUCCCAUGGAACUGGGACACAACAGACACAGGAGUGUUCAUGGCAGGGCCUCAGGGCACCUGCACCUCCUCCUGGGCUCCUGGAGGUUUGGAACAAUACCAAGAGGGAAGGUAAGCAUGGG
This 810-nucleotide long non-coding RNA is filed under the name Taeniopygia guttata (zebra finch). RNAcentral describes it as "lncRNA (ENSTGUG00000027809.1)". Lineage: Eukaryota; Metazoa; Chordata; Aves; Passeriformes; Estrildidae. The record is from RNAcentral.